UACGUAGGGUGCAAGCGUUGUUCGGAAUUACUGGGCGUAAAGGGCGCGUAGGCGGGUUGGUAAGUCGAUUGUGAAAGCCCUGGGCUUAACCCGGGAAUGGCAGUCGAAACUACCAAUCUUGAGUGCCUGAGAGGAUGGCGGAAUUCCCGGUGUAGUAGUGAAAUACGUAGAUAUCGGGAAGAACACCUGAGGCGAAGGCGGCUAUCUGGCGGUGCACUGACGCUGAGGCGCGAAAGCGUGGGGAGCAAACAGG
RNAcentral lists this ribosomal RNA (253 nucleotides) under uncultured bacterium. Its description in RNAcentral is "partial 16S ribosomal RNA". It matches the Rfam family "Bacterial small subunit ribosomal RNA", at positions 524 to 776 of the family's 1533-position model. The record is from RNAcentral.